CUGAAGAGAUGCCAUGGAUGAUCAUGUGGCAUCAGACUCUGGGAUGAGAAUUCUUUGAAUAUGUCAUCAACAAGCCAUCUUAUCACACAUGGAUAGGGAAUUUAAAUUUAUUGUAGGUUAUUGCAAAUCUGCAAACUUUAAGUGUCAAUAAAAGGCAAAAAUAUACAAA
This is a long non-coding RNA of Rana temporaria (common frog), 169 nucleotides long. RefSeq lists it as uncharacterized. The transcript is spliced from 2 exons. The record is from RefSeq and is a predicted model, not a curated record. NCBI's taxonomy places the organism in Eukaryota, Metazoa, Chordata, Amphibia, Anura, Ranidae.